AUGAACGCUGGCGGCGUGCCUAAUACAUGCAAGUCGAGCGAACGGACGAGAAGCUUGCUUUUCUGAUGUUAGCGGCGGACGGGUGAGUAACACGUGGAUAACCUACCUAUAAGACUGGGAUAACUUCGGGAAACCGGAGCUAAUACCGGAUAAUAUUUUGAACCGCAUGGUUCAAAAGUGAAAGACGGUCUUGCUGUCACUUAUAGAUGGAUCCGCGCUGCAUUAGCUAGUUGGUAAGGUAACGGCUUACCAAGGCAACGAUGCAUAGCCGACCUGAGAGGGUGAUCGGCCACACUGGAACUGAGACACGGUCCAGACUCCUACGGGAGGCAGCAGUAGGGAAUCUUCCGCAAUGGGCGAAAGCCUGACAGAGCAACGCCGCGUGAGUGAUGAAGGUCUUCGGAUCGUAAAACUCUGUUAUUAGGGAAGAACAUAUGUGUAAGUAACUGUGCACAUCUUGACGGUACCUAAUCAGAAAGCCACGGCUAACUACGUG
This 496-nucleotide ribosomal RNA is filed under the name uncultured bacterium. RNAcentral's name for it is "partial 16S ribosomal RNA". It matches the Rfam family "Bacterial small subunit ribosomal RNA", at positions 29 to 507 of the family's 1533-position model. The record is from RNAcentral.